Antechinus flavipes (yellow-footed antechinus) is the source of this 559-nucleotide long non-coding RNA. RefSeq lists it as uncharacterized. The record is from RefSeq and is a predicted model, not a curated record. NCBI's taxonomy places the organism in Eukaryota, Metazoa, Chordata, Mammalia, Dasyuromorphia, Dasyuridae. The transcript is spliced from 2 exons.
GGCAACUCCAAUUCUGACUACUUAGUCAAAUGAAAAGUUUUCUCUUAAAAUUAGGAAUCAAAAAAACUUGGGUUCCAGUCCAAUGCAUAUUUGCUAAAAGUCUCCAUUUCUUUGUCUUUAAAAUAAGAAAAUUGAAUUUCACAAUAGCUAAACUCUAUAAUUCAAAUUUCUUAAUGAAGAAAACAAUGGAGAAGAAGUUGAAAGGUCCUGGAUCCAUCUUGGUUCAAUCUGUGUUACUUGGGUGACAGUUGGAGCAGCCGGGGAAGAGCAAAACCAAGAUCUCAGAAGCAGAAGACUUGCAUUUGAAUCCAUUAUUUAGUAGCUUUGGGAUCUUUAUGUCUUAUGUCUUAAUCUUAUGUCAUUACUAUAAGUGUAAGUUUGCUUAUGUGUAAAAUGGGGAUAAUAAUAUCUAGUUUACAUGGUAUUUGGAAUUGUUGAGUGAGAGGAUUUAUGUAAAGUAUUAUAUGGCUUAUUUGAAGCAAGAGUUGUACCUCCCCUAAUACUUCCCUAUUUUCUAACCAAGAAAAAAUAAUGAAAAUAAAACAGUAUUCAAAAAGCC